Molecule: ribosomal RNA, 441 nt
Filed under: uncultured bacterium
Lineage: Bacteria
Description: partial 16S ribosomal RNA
Rfam family: Bacterial small subunit ribosomal RNA
Source: RNAcentral
UCUACGGGAGGCAGCAGUGGGGAAUAUUGCACAAUGGGGGGAACCCUGAUGCAGCGAUGCCGCGUGAGUGAAGGAGUAUUUCGGUAUGUAAAGCCCUAUCAGCAGGGAAGAACAAUGACGGUACCUGAGUAAGAAGCACCGGCUAAAUACGUGCCAGCAGCCGCGGUAAUACGUAUGGUGCAAGCGUUAUCCGGAUUUACUGGGUGUAAAGGGAGCGUAGGCGGCGAGGUAAGCCUGGUGUGAAAGCCCGCGGCCCAACCGCGGGACUGCUUUGGAAACUGGCGUGCUGGAGUGCCGGAGGGGUAUGCGGAAUGCGUGGUGUAGCGGUGAAAUGCGUAGAUAUUAGGAGGAACACCAGUGGCGAAGGCGGCUUACUGGACGGUAACUGACGCUGAGGCUCGAAAGCGUGGGGAGCAAACAGGAUUAGAUACCCUAGUAGUC